GGAUCGAUGAUAAAAACAAGUUUUUGAGGACUGUGAUUUACUUGUAACUAUGCCAAUCUGAGCUCC
Molecule: non-coding RNA, 66 nt
Organism: Mesocricetus auratus (golden hamster)
Lineage: Eukaryota; Metazoa; Chordata; Mammalia; Rodentia; Cricetidae
Source: Rfam